RNAcentral lists this transfer RNA (64 nucleotides) under Sus scrofa (pig). RNAcentral describes it as "tRNA-Cys". The record is from RNAcentral. Lineage: Eukaryota; Metazoa; Chordata; Mammalia; Artiodactyla; Suidae.
AGUUCCGUGGUGAAUGUCAUGUUGAUUGCAAUUCAAAGAAGCAGCUUCAAUUCUGCCGGGACUU